CCUACGGGGGGCAGCAGUGGGGAAUAUUGCACAAUGGGGGAAACCCUGAUGCAGCGACGCCGCGUGAGUGAAGAAGUAUCUCGGUACGUAAAGCUCUAUCAGCAGGGAAGAAAAUGACGGUACCUGACCAAGAAGCCCCGGCUAACUACGUGCCAGCAGCCGCGGUAAUACGUAGGGGGCAAGCGUUAUCCGGAUUUACUGGGUGUAAAGGGAGCGUAGACGGUAAUGCAAGUCUGGAGUGAAAUGCAGGGGCUCAACCCCUGAACUGCUUUGGAAACUGUAUGACUGGAGUGCAGGAGAGGUAAGUGGAAUUCCUAGUGUAGCGGUGAAAUGCGUAGAUAUUAGGAGGAACACCAGUGGCGAAGGCGGCUUACUGGACUGUAACUGACGUUGAGGCUCG
RNAcentral lists this ribosomal RNA (400 nucleotides) under uncultured bacterium. Its description in RNAcentral is "bacterial SSU rRNA". It matches the Rfam family "Bacterial small subunit ribosomal RNA", at positions 338 to 755 of the family's 1533-position model. The record is from RNAcentral.